Molecule: non-coding RNA, 154 nt
Filed under: Bacillus sp. (in: firmicutes)
Lineage: Bacteria; Bacillati; Bacillota; Bacilli; Caryophanales; Bacillaceae
Also listed under: 1 other name
Description: Bacillus sp. SAM-I sequence
Rfam family: SAM riboswitch aptamer (S box leader)
About the family: The SAM riboswitch is found upstream of a number of genes which code for proteins involved in methionine or cysteine biosynthesis in Gram-positive bacteria. The SAM riboswitch acts at the level of transcription termination control.
Source: RNAcentral
CUCUUAUCACGAGCUGGCUGAGGGAUUUGGCCCUUUGAAGCCCAGCAACCGACCAAGAUGCCAUUGAAAAAUGGGGUGCAUGAAGCACUAGGGAUACCUCUUCUUGGCACGGUGCUAAUUCCAACAGAAGGAGACCCUUUCUGAGAGAUAAGAG